GAGUUUGAUCCUGGCUCAGGAUGAACGCUAGCGACAGGCCUAACACAUGCAAGUCGAGGGGUAACAUUGUAGCUUGCUACAGAUGACGACCGGCGCACGGGUGCGUAACGCGUAUGCAACCUACCCAUUACAGGGGAAUAGCCCGAAGAAAUUCGGAUUAAUACCCCAUAGUUUCAAGAUACCGCAUGGUAUUUUGCAUAAAGAUUUACCGGUAAUGGAUGGGCAUGCGUAAGAUUAGUUAGUUGGUGAGGUAACGGCUCACCAAGGCAUCGAUCUUUAGGGGUUCUGAGAGGAAGACCCCCCACACUGGUACUGAGACACGGACCAGACUCCUACGGGAGGCAGCAGUGAGGAAUAUUGGGCAAUGGAGGCAACUCUGACCCAGCCAUGUCGCGUGCAGGAAGACCGCCCUAUGGGUUGUAAACUGCUUUUAUAUAGGAAUAAUUUCACUACGAGUAGUGAGUUGCAUGUACUAUAUGAAUAAGGACCGGCUAACUCCGUGCCAGCAGCCGCGGUAAUACGGAGGGUCCAAGCGUUAUCCGGAUUUAUUGGGUUUAAAAGGUGCGUAGGUGGAAUUAUAAGUCAGUGGUGAAAGUUUGCGGCUCAACCGUAAAAUUGCCAUUGAAACUGUAUUUCUUGAGAGAAUUCGAAGUAGGCGGAAUGUGUUGUGUAGCGGUGAAAUGCAUAGAUAUAACACAGAACACCGAUUGCGUAGGCAGCUUACUAGGAUUUUUCUGACACUGAUGCACGAAAGCGUGGGUAGCGAACAGGAUUAGAUACCCUGGUAGUCCACGCCGUAAACGAUGCAUACUCGUUGUUGGCAAAUUAUAUUGUCAGUGACCAAGCGAAAGUAUUAAGUAUGCCACCUGGGGAGUACGUCGGCAACGAUGAAACUCAAAGGAAUUGACGGGGGCCCGCACAAGCGGAGGAACAUGUGGUUUAAUUCGAUGAUACGCGAGGAACCUUACCUGGGCUUAAAUGAAGACUGCAUAGAGCAGAGAUGUUCUUUUCUUCGGACUGUUUUCAAGGUGCUGCAUGGUUGUCGUCAGCUCGUGCCGUGAGGUGUCGGGUUAAGUCCCAUAACGAGCGCAACCCCUAUCGUUAGUUGCUAACAGGUCAAGCUGAGGACUCUAGCGAGACUGCCGGUGUAAACCGCGAGGAAGGUGGGGAUGACGUCAAAUCAGCACGGCCCUUACGCCCAGGGCUACACACGUGUUACAAUGGCAGGUACAGAGGGCAGCUACAUAGCAAUAUGAUGCGAAUCUCGAAAGCCUGUCUCAGUUCAGAUUGGAGUCUGCAACCCGACCCCAUGAAGUUGGAUUCGCUAGUAAUCGCAUAUCAGCCAUGAUGCGGUGAAUACGUUCCCGGGCCUUGUACACACCGCCCGUCAAACAAUGGAAGCUGGGGGUACCUGAAGUACGUAACCGCAAGGAGCGUCCUAGGGUAAAACUGGUAACUGGUGUUAAGUCGUAACAAGGUAACCGUA
Molecule: ribosomal RNA, 1486 nt
Filed under: uncultured Saccharicrinis sp.
Lineage: Bacteria; Pseudomonadati; Bacteroidota; Bacteroidia; Marinilabiliales; Marinilabiliaceae
Description: bacterial SSU rRNA
Rfam family: Bacterial small subunit ribosomal RNA
Source: RNAcentral